RNAcentral lists this ribosomal RNA (482 nucleotides) under uncultured bacterium. RNAcentral describes it as "partial 16S ribosomal RNA". It matches the Rfam family "Bacterial small subunit ribosomal RNA", at positions 30 to 507 of the family's 1533-position model. The record is from RNAcentral.
AUUGAACGCUGGCGGCAUGCUUUACACAUGCAAAUCGAACGGCAGCGCGGGGCAACCUGGCGGCGAGUGGCGAACGGGUGAGUAAUAUAUCGGAACGUACCCAGAAGUGGGGGAUAACGUAGCGAAAGUUACGCUAAUACCGCAUACGAUCUACGGAUGAGAUGCGGGGACCGCAAGGCCUUAUGCUUUUGGAGCGGCCGAUAUCUGAUUAGCUAGUUGGUGAGGGAAAGGCUCACCAAGGCGACGAUCAGUAGCUGGUCUGAGAGGACGACCAGCCACACUGGAACUGAGACACGGUCCAGACUCCUAAGGGAGGCAGCAGUGGGGAAUUUUGGACAAUGGGCGCAAGCCUGAUCCAGCAAUGCCGCGUGAGUGAAGAAGGCCUUCGGGUUGUAAAGCUCUUUUGUCAGGGAAGAAACGGUAGAGGCUAAUAUCCUGUGCUAAUGACGGUACCUGAAGAAUAAGCACCGGCUAACUACGUG